GAUGAACGCUGGCGGCGUGCCUAAUACAUGCAAGUCGAGCAAACAGACGAGGAGCUUGCUCCUCUGACGUUAGCGGCGGACGGGUGAGUAACACGUGGAUAACCUACCUAUAAGACUGGGAUAACUUCGGGAAACCGGAGCUAAUACCGGAUAAUAUAUUGAACCGCAUGGUUCAAUAGUGAAAGACGGUUUUGCUGUCACUUAUAGAUGGAUCCGCGCCGCAUUAGCUAGUUGGUAAGGUAACGGCUUACCAAGGCAACGAUGCGUAGCCGACCUGAGAGGGUGAUCGGCCACACUGGAACUGAGACACGGUCCAGACUCCUACGGGAGGCAGCAGUAGGGAAUCUUCCGCAAUGGGCGAAGGCUUGACGGAGCAACGCCGCGUGAGUGAUGAAGGUCUUCGGAUCGUAAAACUCUGUUAUUAGGGAAGAACAAAUGUGUAAGUAACUAUGCACGUCUUGACGGUACCUAAUCAGAAAGCCACGGCUAACUACGUG
RNAcentral lists this ribosomal RNA (497 nucleotides) under uncultured bacterium. RNAcentral's name for it is "partial 16S ribosomal RNA". It matches the Rfam family "Bacterial small subunit ribosomal RNA", at positions 28 to 507 of the family's 1533-position model. The record is from RNAcentral.